AUUUCCCUAGGAAUUUAUUCCUCUAAAGAGCCGUUCGAGACUAGGACGUUGAUAGGUUGGAUGUGGAAGCAUAGUGAUAUGUGAAGCUGACCAAUACUAAUUGCUCGUGAGGCUUGACUAUACAACACCCAAGCAGUUG
This 139-nucleotide ribosomal RNA is filed under the name Acinetobacter pittii. RNAcentral's name for it is "partial 23S ribosomal RNA". The stretch from base 1 to 121 matches the Rfam family "Bacterial large subunit ribosomal RNA", at positions 2809 to 2925 of the family's 2925-position model. Lineage: Bacteria; Pseudomonadati; Pseudomonadota; Gammaproteobacteria; Moraxellales; Moraxellaceae. The record is from RNAcentral.